Molecule: ribosomal RNA, 3023 nt
Organism: Desulfatibacillum alkenivorans AK-01
Lineage: Bacteria; Pseudomonadati; Thermodesulfobacteriota; Desulfobacteria; Desulfobacterales; Desulfatibacillaceae
Rfam family: Bacterial large subunit ribosomal RNA
Source: Rfam
GGCCAAGCUACUAAGGGCAAACGGUGGAUGCCUUGGCGUCAAGAGGCGAUGAAAGACGUGGUAGGCUGCGAUAAGCUUCGGAGAGCCGCCUAACAGGCUUUGACCCGGAGAUCUCUGAAUGGGGAAACCCGUCCAGGGUAGUGUCUGGACAUCCGUAACUGAAUACAUAGGUUGCGGAGGCGAACGAGGUGAACUGAAACAUCUAAGUAACCUCAGGAAGAGAAAACAACAGUGAUUUCCUAAGUAGCGGCGAGCGAACGGGAAAUAGCCCAAACCUAGUGCAUGCCAAGCUCAGAGGCGUUGUGCGCUGGGGGUCGUGGGAUUCGAUCGGACGGAGCUCUGAAUCCGUCGGGAAGUUACCAACCUGUUUUAUAGUAGAACCGUCUGGAAAGUCGGGCCAUAGAGGGUGACAGCCCCGUAUGCGAAAUAAAGCAGGCUUCCUGGAUUGGACACCCAAGUACCGCGGGACACGAGAAACCCUGUGGGAAUUCGGGAGGACCAUCUCCUAAGGCUAAAUACUACUUGACGACCGAUAGCGAACCAGUACCGUGAGGGAAAGGUGAAAAGAACCCUUUAUAAGGGAGUGAAAUAGAACCUGAAACCGUUUGCUUACAAGCAGUGGGAGGGUUAUGGAAUCGGCUUCGGCCCUUUCCGGCCUGACCGCGUGCCUUUUGCAUAAUGAGUCAGCGAGUUACUUUACGUAGCAAGGUUAAGCCGUUAGGUGUAGCCGCAGCGAAAGCGAGUCCGAAAUGGGCGAAUUAGUUGCGUGGAGUAGACCCGAAGCCAAGUGAUCUAUCCAUGGGCAGGGUGAAGCGCCAGUAAAAUGGCGUGGAGGCCCGAACCGCCGUAGGUUGAAAACUGCUCGGAUGACCUGUGGAUAGGGGUGAAAGGCCAAUCAAACUUGGAAAUAGCUGGUUCUCCCCGAAAUAUAUUUAGGUAUAGCCUCGCGUAAUUAAGUGACGGGGGUAGAGCACUGGAUGGGCUAGGGGUCCUACCAGAUUACCAAACCUAACCAAACUCCGAAUACCGUUAACUUCUAUCGCGGGAGUCAGACUACGGGAGCUAAGUUCCGUGGUCGAGAGGGAAACAGCCCAGAUCGCCAGCUAAGGUCCCUAAGUGUGUGCUAAGUGGGAAAGGAUGUGGAAACGCGGAGACAACCAGGAGGUUGGCUUAGAAGCAGCCAUCCUUUAAAGAAAGCGUAAUAGCUCACUGGUCAAGUGGGUCUGCGCCGAAGAUGUAACGGGGCUCAAGCACACCACCGAAGCUGCGGGAUAUAUACUAUGUAUGUAUCGGUAGGGGAGCAUUCUGUGCGGGCUGAAGGUCGACCGUAAGGACGGCUGGACUGUUCAGAAGAGACCAUGCUGACAUGAGUAGCGAUAAAACGGGUGAGAAACCCGUUCGCCGUAAACCCAAGGUUUCCUGAGUAAAGCUAAUCUUCUCAGGGUUAGUCGAUCCCUAAGCCGAGGCCGAAAGGCGUAGGUGAUGGAAAACAGGUUAAUAUUCCUGUACCACCAGAUAAUCGUUAUCAGCGAUGGGGGGACGCAGGAGGGUAGAUGAUCCGCGUGUUGGAAUACGCGGUUUAAGCACGUAGGCUGGGAGAGCAGGCAAAUCCACUUUCCUAAGGCCGAGAUGCGAAUACGAGAGACAUUGUCUCAUAAAGUCAUUAAUCCCAUGCUGCCAAGAAAAGCCUCUAGUGAGAUUAUCAGGUGAUCGUACCGCAAACCGACACAGGUGGGUGGGGAGAGUAUCCCAAGGCGCUUGAGAGAACCCUGGUUAAGGAACUCGGCAAAAUGACACCGUAACUUCGGGAGAAGGUGUGCCUCUGUUGGUGAUGUAAUUUACUUAUUGAGCUGACGGAGGUCGCAGAGAAAUGGCGGUAGCGACUGUUUACUAAAAACAUAGGACUCUGCUAAGUCGCAAGACGAUGUAUAGGGUCUGACGCCUGCCCGGUGCCGGAAGGUUAAGGGGACUUGUUAUCCACCUCGGUGGAGAAGCUGGGAACCGAAGCCCCGGUAAACGGCGGCCGUAACUAUAACGGUCCUAAGGUAGCGAAAUUCCUUGUCGGGUAAGUUCCGACCUGCACGAAUGGCGUAACGACUUCCGCACUGUCUCAACCAGGGACUCAGCGAAAUUGUAUUGGCGGUGAAGAUGCCGUCUACCCGCGAAAAGACGGAAAGACCCCGGCACCUUUACUACAGCUUGACAUUGGGUUUUGGAACAUCGUGUGUAGGAUAGGUGGGAGACUAUGAAACCGGAACGCCAGUUUCGGUGGAGUCACCCUUGAAAUACCACCCUCGUUGUUUUAGGGCUCUAACUCCGACCCGUUAUCCGGGCGGAGAACAGUGUCUGGCGGGUAGUUUGACUGGGGCGGUCGCCUCCCAAAGAGUAACGGAGGCGCGCGAAGGUUCCCUCAGGCUGAUUGGAAACCAGCCGUAGAGUGCAAAGGCAUAAGGGAGCUUGACUGCGAGAGAGACAUUUCGAGCAGGUACGAAAGUAGGUCUUAGUGAUCCGGCGGUCCCGAAUGGAAGGGCCGUCGCUCAUCGGCUAAAAGGUACGCCGGGGAUAACAGGCUUAUCGCCCCCAAGAGUUCACAUCGACGGGGCGGUUUGGCACCUCGAUGUCGGCUCAUCACAUCCUGGGGCUGGAGCAGGUCCCAAGGGUUUGGCUGUUCGCCAAUUAAAGUGGUACGUGAGCUGGGUUUAAAACGUCGUGAGACAGUUUGGUCCCUAUCUUUCGUGGGCGUAGGAUAUUUGAGAGGAUCUGCUCCUAGUACGAGAGGACCGGAGUGGACGAACCUCUGGUGGUCCUGUUGUCGCGCCAGCGGCAUAGCAGGGUAGCUAUGUUCGGAAAGGAUAACCGCUGAAAGCAUCUAAGCGGGAAGCCCCCCUCAAGAUAAGAUAUCCCUUUGCAUGGAGACAUGCGAACUUAAGACCCCUUGUAGACUACAAGGUUGAUAGGCCGGGUGUGUACGCAUAGUGAUAUGUUUAGCUUACCGGUACUAAUCGGUCGUGCGGCUUGGCCAC